RNAcentral lists this ribosomal RNA (492 nucleotides) under uncultured bacterium. RNAcentral describes it as "partial 16S ribosomal RNA". It matches the Rfam family "Bacterial small subunit ribosomal RNA", at positions 29 to 507 of the family's 1533-position model. The record is from RNAcentral.
AGUGAGCGCUGGCGGUAGGCCUAACACAUGCAAGUCGAACGGCAGCACAGUAAGAGCUUGCUCUUACGGGUGGCGAGUGGCGGACGGGUGAGGAAUACAUCGGAAUCUACUUUUUCGUGGGGGAUAACGUAGGGAAACUUACGCUAAUACCGCAUACGACCUACGGGUGAAAGCAGGGGAUCUUCGGACCUUGCGCGAUUGAAUGAGCCGAUGUCGGAUUAGCUAGUUGGCGGGGUAAAGGCCCACCAAGGCGACGAUCCGUAGCUGGUCUGGGAGGAUGAUCAGCCACACUGGAACUGAGACACGGUCCAGACUCCUACGGGAGGCAGCAGUGGGGAAUAUUGGACAAUGGGCGCAAGCCUGAUCCAGCCAUACCGCGUGGGUGAAGAAGGCCUUCGGGUUGUAAAGCCCUUUUGUUGGGAAAGAAAAGCAGCAGGUUAAUACCCCGCUGUUCUGACGGUACCCAAAGAAUAAGCACCGGCUAACUUCGUG